UGUGUAGGCGGUUCUCUAAGUUUGGUGUGAAAUCUCCCGGCUCAACUGGGAGGGUGCGCCGAAAACUGGGGGGCUAGAGUGCGGGAUGGGAGAGUGGAAUUCCUGGUGUAGCGGUGAAAUGCGUAGAUAUCAGGAGGAACACCGGUGGUGCAGACGGCUCUCUGGACCGUAACUGACGCUGAGACACGAAAGCGUGGGUAGCAAACAGGAUUAGAUACCCUGGUAGUCCACGCCCUAAACGAUGCAUAUUUGGUGUAGGUCAUUCAGUUGAUCUGUGCCGGAGCUAACGCGUUAAAUAUGCCGCCUGGGGAGUACAGUCGCAAGGCUGAA
RNAcentral lists this ribosomal RNA (330 nucleotides) under uncultured bacterium. RNAcentral describes it as "bacterial SSU rRNA". It matches the Rfam family "Bacterial small subunit ribosomal RNA", at positions 568 to 898 of the family's 1533-position model. The record is from RNAcentral.